Molecule: ribosomal RNA, 494 nt
Filed under: uncultured bacterium
Lineage: Bacteria
Description: partial 16S ribosomal RNA
Rfam family: Bacterial small subunit ribosomal RNA
Source: RNAcentral
GACGAACGCUGGCGGCGUGCUUAACACAUGCAAGUCGAACGGUGAAGCGCCUUCCUUUUUGGUGGGUGUGGAUGAGUGGCGAACGGGUGAGUAACACGUGAGUAACCUGCCCCCUUCUUCUGGAUAACCGCAUGAAAGUGUGGCUAAUACGGGAUAUUCUGGGUCUGUCGCAUGAUGGGUCUGGGAAAGAUAUUGUUUCGGUGGGGGAUGGGCUCGCGGCCUAUCAGCUUGUUGGUGGGGUGAUGGCCUACCAAGGCGGUGACGGGUAGCCGGCCUGAGAGGGUGGACGGUCACACUGGGACUGAGACACGGCCCAGACUCCUACGGGAGGCAGCAGUGGGGAAUAUGGCACAAUGGGCGCAAGCCUGAUGCAGCGACGCCGCGUGAGGGAUGGAGGCCUGCGGGUUGUGAACCUCUUUCGCCAGUGAAGCAGGCCUGCCUCGUUUGUGGGUGGGUUGACGGUAGCUGGAUAAGAAGCGCCGGCUAACUACGUG